This is a long non-coding RNA of Drosophila ananassae, 882 nucleotides long. RefSeq lists it as uncharacterized. Lineage: Eukaryota; Metazoa; Arthropoda; Insecta; Diptera; Drosophilidae. The transcript is spliced from 3 exons. The record is from RefSeq and is a predicted model, not a curated record.
AUACCCAUCAAAGUACCCUUUACAAUAUUCUAUAUGAUUGUCAACAUAAAAUUGACAAGAUAAAAAACUAGCACACAAGUCCCCACACGGAUCAUACGGAGUAAAAAAACUUACCAACCAAAACUGGUAGCAGUUGUAGAUAUAUUAUUGAAUCACCCGAAGUCAAUUAUUAGUUAAUAUAGCACAAUGAGUGAUGCGAGUAUUCUUUCGAAAGUGAGCCUUGCUGCCGACAGCACCAUAAUGGAUCACAGAACCCUGAUGUAUGAAAGAAGGAAAACCAUGGAAGCCAGGCGUUUAACAAGGGGGAUGAGAUCUAUCCUUGGCUCCGAAAGAAUAGUAGUGCCUGAAAACUCCUGGACUUAUCAUUUUACGAAUAUGGUAAAGCGUCACAAUGAUGAUCAAAAGCUCGUUGAUCCUGCAUUUAUUCCGGAGGUUUCUACCAAGGAGAAAUUCGAAUAUAUAUUAAAGAACGAUGACGACAAGGAGGCAUUCUACGAUCCUAGUUUCAAACAUCACCAAGUGCCUCUCUACAUUCGAUGUAUUGAGCGUUUUCAUGAAUCAAAAAAAAAGUUUUCAAACCAAUUUAGACGGGAAGUGAAUCUAUUAAUUGAUAAUCAACCAAACGCUGAUUGUGCUUGGCAGUUUGUUAGAACUGUGGCUUACACCACACUUUGGCCGCCAUUGCAUUCAAGACAGGAGCUUUGGUAUUUUGAAAGGGACUUUUUACAAUUAACUCCCAAGGAAAAGAGCCGUUUGCAUAAAAUUAUGAACACCGAAUUUAAUUGAAAGUGGUAUUACGGAUACAUAUUUAGGAUUUGUAUUUUGGAUACGUUUGGAAAAAAAAUCAUAAUGAUAAAUUAAAUCAAUAAUAAAAUAAAUUAA